AGGGGUAUAGCCAAGCGGUAAGGCAACGGGUUUUGAUCCCGUCAUGCGUAGGUUCAAAUCCUGCUACCCCUA
RNAcentral lists this transfer RNA (72 nucleotides) under Neptunomonas antarctica. RNAcentral's name for it is "tRNA_Gln_TTG". It matches the Rfam family "tRNA". From Rfam's summary of the family: Transfer RNA (tRNA) molecules are approximately 80 nucleotides in length. The record is from RNAcentral. Lineage: Bacteria; Pseudomonadati; Pseudomonadota; Gammaproteobacteria; Oceanospirillales; Oceanospirillaceae.